This 274-nucleotide ribosomal RNA is filed under the name uncultured bacterium. RNAcentral's name for it is "partial 16S ribosomal RNA". It matches the Rfam family "Bacterial small subunit ribosomal RNA", at positions 523 to 796 of the family's 1533-position model. The record is from RNAcentral.
AUACGGAGGGUGCGAGCGUUACUCGGAGUCACUGGGCGUAAAGCGUCCGUAGGCGGUCGGGUAAGUCGGGUGCGAAAGCCCCGGGCUCAACCUGGGAAGUGCACCCGAUACUGCUCGACUCGAGUGCGGGAGAGGAUGGCGGAAUUCCCGGUGUAGCGGUGAAAUGCGUAGAGAUCGGGAGGAACACCAGUGGCGAAGGCGGCCAUCUGGCCCGCAACUGACGCUGAGGGACGAAAGCGUGGGGAGCAAACAGGAUUAGAAACCCUAGUAGUCC